CCUACGGGCGGCAGCAGUGAGGAAUAUUGGUCAAUGGACGAGAGUCUGAACCAGCCAAGUAGCGUGAAGGAUGACUGCCCUAUGGGUUGUAAACUUCUUUUAUAUGGGAAUAAAAUGUUCCACGUGUGGGUUUUUGUAUGUACCAUAUGAAUAAGGAUCGGCUAACUCCGUGCCAGCAGCCGCGGUAAUACGGAGGAUCCGAGCGUUAUCCGGAUUUAUUGGGUUUAAAUGGAGCGUAGGUGGAUUGUUAAGUCAGUUGUGAAAGUUUGCGGCUCAACCGUAAAAUUGCAGUUGAAACUGGCAGUCUUGAGUACAGUAGAGGUGGGCGGAAUGCGUGGUGUAGCGGUGAAAUGCUUAGAUAUCACGAAGAACUCCGAUUGCGAAGGCAGCUCACUGGACUGCAACUGACACUGAGGCUCGAAAGUGUGGGUAUCAAACAGGAUUAGAUACCCGAGUAGUC
This 460-nucleotide ribosomal RNA is filed under the name uncultured bacterium. RNAcentral describes it as "partial 16S ribosomal RNA". It matches the Rfam family "Bacterial small subunit ribosomal RNA", at positions 338 to 795 of the family's 1533-position model. The record is from RNAcentral.